Molecule: small RNA, 8035 nt
Filed under: Rattus norvegicus (Norway rat)
Lineage: Eukaryota; Metazoa; Chordata; Mammalia; Rodentia; Muridae
Description: uncharacterized LOC102551038
Source: RNAcentral
ACACACUUUCUCCAACAAGGCCACACCUUCUAAUCCUGCCGCUCCCUGGGCCAAGCAUAUGCAAACCAUCACAGGGGGUAACUAGUAUCCUGAAGAAAUAACACUCACACCCUUAGGAAGAUUAUCCAAGCCAUUUGAACUCAUAAUAGAGAAGCACAGCUUGAUUCUGCGUGCAAAAAUCUACAAGUCACCUGGUUUGGAGCCACCAUGAGUGAUUUGCCUUUGUUUUUACACUUGAUCUUAGCCAAAGGGCCGAGAAGCAAUUGCCUUUGUUUUUAAAGAAAAGAUUCCAAACAAGGAAUGCAUAGGAUUCUGAUAGUUUAUAUCAUCCCUCAAACCUUCACUGCCUCUCCUCCAUCUCAGAAAACCGGAGUCAGUAAAUGGAUGUAUGAUGUCCAUGGUUUAGUUAAAACGAAGCUCCAAAUCUGUCCAGGUCUCUGCUGUAGCAAAGCUGCUGACAUAGUUGUCACGUACCUUCUAAGAGAUGCCCCGAGGCAUCGCAUGGACCUAAGGCAUCGGAGCCACAGGGCCUGUGUUUGCAUUUUAUACUUAACUGAGCCUUGUAAGUAAAGUGGUUCAACUUAGGAAGGUUUUCUAAGCUAGUGGGUAGAGCAGAAGAGAUUUCUUGUAAUAGUUAAUAACCAGGAAGCUCAGGCUUUCUGAUUAAUUGUGGCUUUCCUCCGUCUUGGUAUUUGAUAGCUUUCCUACAGUUUGGUUCAAAAGCUACCUCGAUAUCAUUAAGUUAUGUUGCAGUGUUCAGUAUUUGAGUCUGUUCAGCAGGGACACUUGAAAAAUCACCAGCUAUUUUUAAAAGCUUGUUUGUUUUCACCAGCUGUUUUGGGUUAAGAGGGUGUUUACAUCUUGAUGUACAGAAUGAAACAGCUAUAAGUAAUUUUUCCUGUAUACACUGCCAUCUUUCAUUACUUGGAAUGUCAUCCCCGAGAAGGUACAUGACAGCCAUGAUGUUAUGGUCCUAGAGAAUCUGUUCAGUGUCCUUGUGAGGUGUGUGUGGCUGUGUUCAUCCUGUGUGGAUGCAAUGGAGUAGCCUCGACUUACGUGUCCCAUAGCUAAGCACAUGUGUUCUAAUCAUGCCUCGGGCUCUUUGACUCUAUUUGUGCAACAGUCUUUCCCAGUGUGUGUUAAUGGAUGUUUAUCUUAAUUAAGCCAGCUCUGAAAUGCUGCCUGUUGGCUGUGCCAAGAACAGACAAUGUCAUAAUCUAAAAGUAUUUGCUUACUUUAUUGGUCUGGGUUUGAAACAUUCAUACUGAGUCUUUCCCUGAAAGAACAACAUGCCAAGAAAAGCAUUAACAAAAUCUGUUAACAAAAUCUGAACAGAAAGGGAGACAGACCAGAGUAGUGAAGUACAAAGAAGGGCUCGGAGGGUGUGACUCGGUGUCCAGAAGCUAGGGUCAGAAGGGAGCAAGUUAGACAGGGUCCUGUCAAAGAUAAAACAAAUUCCAGAUAAGACCUCUUGUUCUGAUGAAUUUGGUAAAAAUGUUCUUACUUGGGGUCCUGGGGGCGCUAAAAUGAGCAGAACUCCUAAACAGACACUGUAUUUGCACAUUGUGUGGAUUAUCUAUUUGUUGCAGGUUUCCAUUUCUCUCUCUCUCUCCCUCUCCCUCCCUCCCCCCCCCCUCUCUCUCUGUCGUGUGUGUGUGUGUGUGUGUGUGUGUGUGUGUGUGUGUGUGUGUGUGUGUGCGCGCGCGCGUAUGCAUGAUCAUGUGUGGGGAUUUUAUUUUGCUCCUAUAAUUAAGAAUUCUUGCCCUGAGCUAAGAACACAUACCUGUUAAAGCUUGAAAAUCCGUUUGAGACAAGUGAAUUAUGGAGAACUUUUACCCAGUUGUAAUUUAGAAAACAGAUGUUCUAUUCCAGGUUUACUACAAUUAUUUUUGCAAUGUAGGUUGUUUUGCACACCUGACUCAAGCCUGGAAGAGUACAUUUUGGUUAGGUCAUGUCAGGAAUGUCUCUCAGCUGUGGCUUUGCCAGGCUCUACAGAGGCCCCUCUGGUGCAGACCCAGGGUGACUUCUCUGUGCUCUUGUAGUGUGCUGAGGCCCAGAUGGAUACUUACUUGGCUUAACCUAAGGACACACUCUGAACUGCUGGAUUUCCAGGGGAGCAUGUGGAGUAUGUGCUUGUCACUCGCUAUUCAACAAACUGAAGUCACUUUGUUAGAGCUGCCAUGAAGUUAAAGAAUAAAUAAAUAAUUUCAAAAGCAUCCACCAUGUGACCAAAGUGAACACUUCGGCUCACCACAGACCACAGGUCACUCCUGAGUGCUGCACUCUACGUCAUGGUCAGGGUCUCUUAGUCUUUUUCUCCACUGCUCGAGGAAGUGGAACCAUAAACACUGGUGAGUAGAACCUGUUCUGUUGUUCAAGUUGGAUUUAAUAAUUUAAUAAUAUCCUCACUGAAGAUCAGCAAGAGAAUCCCCUGCAACCCUAAGGGUUCUGAAUGGGUUAGUGAGGACCAAGCAGGCAGGAGUGCGGCAAAAAUAUGUAAGUGCCACUUGCGAGAGGCGUUUGAUCAUGUUCAUCCUGCUCUGGGGCUGCUGGCUGAUAGCAGCCCCUGCUGCUGACUCUUAAGUCAUGUCCAGGAACCUCUAGGCAGGUGAAAUUCAGUAAGUGUUGGCCCCUGUGUGCUUGGAAGCCAUAUGCAUCCUGUUUAUAAUAGUGGCUGUGAUUGACACAUUGGUACCUGGUGUCCUGUGCUUUGGCAAUGCUGGUGUGUAAACAGUUACCUCUGCACACCUGAGAGACUCUAAGAGACUACAGAGAGGAGUUCCUGGAUCAGUACUGUAGCAUCACAAAUCCUUCCUAGCAUUGCCUUGGCAACAAACAGUAUUUUCAGCCCAGCCUCACCCCUGGUUCACAUUUGCCCUUUUCUACUGUAUUCCAUGGCACAGCAAUGCAGGCGUCACCCAAGUUCACGGGACUCAGUCAGGGACCAUCUGAGAUCAGGAGACAGGAAUUGUGCCUUCCAUACCCAUGAGGGUCCUCCGACUUCCCCAGCUCUGUCUUGGCCAUCUGACUGUUUUAUGCCAGCGCUCUGUGUCAAGGCUAGGUUACAAACAACCUUGCCUAACGGUGAACAAACAAUAUGUUGCCUUUGUACAUUGCGCUCCAGUAAUGCUUAUCUGUGCCUUUAGUAUUUCUGUGUGGUGUACCUUAAGGCAGCCUGGGAGCAGGAAACACCACCUCAUUUCAUUUGAGAGAACAAAACGUGGGUCAAUAAUGACUUUGGAUGGUACCAUGCCAAUUGGCAGUGGUAUUGAGUUGCCACUUGGGUUUGGGUUUUUAUUUAGAAGUUGGUGCACAUCUGUCUAUGCUGUCUUGUGUCUCAGAAGGGAAAUUCUUGGCAUAUAUAAUAGCAGUAGAGAGAGUAUAGAGCAGACAUAGAAGGAAAAUAGAAUUGUGUGUUCUACAACAUGUCUCUGGGUAUAGCCAUGUUGUCUUCACAGCAAUCUCGAAGGCAUUCUUUCCUACAGAUGAGCUGUCCAAGCCCUAAAGAUGUCACACGGCUUCACCCACAGCCAGUGUGGUCCUUGGUUGGCACCAGGAUUGUAACCCGGAUUGAUCUCACUAAGAACUCAUGCUCUUAGCUACUAGAUAGUCUUAAACCACAUCACAUAGGAGCCUGUAUAACCACAUGUGUAUGCAGGUAUACACUUUUUACAUGCUAAACAGUCAAUGCCAACUUCUGUGGUAAGACAUCCUGAAAGGAAUAAAAUAGUUGGCUAAAAUCCCUGAACUUCUAACCAUAACAGGACAGAUGCUCAAGGGUAUGGGAUUAGAGCACCUAGGUCAAGGCAUCCAGACAUUUUAGUGUUUGUGUUAUUGGUGAGUCACAUGUUACAGGCCCUUGCUUUCCUAAGAUGCUGCCAGAAUACUCUGGUUCUUUGGCUUGGAGUAAUUUUGUGACAAUUCUGCUGAGAGUCUCUAUGUGUGAAAACAGGAAACAGGGAAUAGCUUUCUACCACUGCGACUGCUUGGAUUUAGACUCCCUGGUUCUCUCCUACUUGUGCUGUGAUCUUACAGGUUUCUGAAACCUUUCUGCCUUAGUUUUCUCCUGUGCACACUGAGUAUGGUUGUGAUUGUAAAGUGAAUGGAUAUAGGGAAAGCCCUGGGACCAGCACCAGGCAGAAAGCCAUGGCCACCAUGCUCAUGAAUGUGAUAAAUCUUUGCACAAAGCUCUUUAGAAGCCUUCCCUAGGGGAGGAUUCUGUUGCAAUGUCUAGCAUGCGGUGGUGCCCUAGCCAGACACAUGUGUGGACUUACGGACAGAGCAUACAUCCAAAGAGGGAAAGGAAUUGAGUGACCCAUGCCUGCUGUAUGUCGGGUGCUCUGUUGAGGAAAUAUUUCAUUACACACUUUAAUAACCUGAAGAAGGGAUGUAGUGUUACCGUGAGAGGUAAGCGAUGCCUUUCAGUCUCCCUCCCAGUCUCAAGGCACAGGUAUGCUGGGGAUCCCUGUCCUAUCCAGUAUGGCACAAGAAUCCAGGCAUCAACAGACUUUGCUUUGAAUAUAGCUGUCUGUGUACCUGACAGUCCCGGAUGCUACCUUCCCUGGUGCCUCUGUGAGUCCCUAUUGAUAGGAAGGUGAGAGGGAGGAAGUGAGCAGCCAGCAGCCUGCAGCCUACAGUUCUGUCAACCGAAAGGCAUUCUUGAAAAGUACAAAUAUAGCACGGCUAUAAAAAGAUUAAGGUGCACUGCUCUGAAAACUGAGAACCAGUAGGGAGUGCCAUGGUGGCCAACUGACAAAGUGGAGAAGCAAAUUUUGCAAAACUGGAAAACCAGGGAAAGUCAGGCUAAGUGGAGACGCUGACAAAUCAGACUACAGCUAGCCAGGCCUGAACUAGAGGCUGGCAAGCAGAAAACGGUAAGCGGUGAGGCUCCCUGAGGGAUUCCAGUGAGUUCUCUUUCUUUGGAAGCAUGACAGGGGUCCUGGGGACCAGUGAACUGUCACCAUGGGCUGGGGUGUUUCUGCCCUGCUCACUAGCACUGCAGAACUGAGGUGGAGUGCAGGGAGGCUCCCUCCUUGGCCUGUGGGCUUCCUUUUUAACCUCUACUGUCCUCCUCUCUCCCUUUUCUCCACCACUGUGUGACCUCCCCACCUAGGCCUCCCCAGCCUGUGGUUCAGAGCUUCAAGGCAGAUCUCCCAGUAAGCUGUCCUGCACCGCUGCUACUGAGGACAAAGCAAGCAAAGGUCUUUUCUGACUUUGGUUUAGAGGUAAUCAUACUUCAGGCUUUUACUUCACUGUAAACCCUGCCUGUAGCGUAACAUUAUAAUCUUAAUUCAACUGUUGCUAUUCUGUGUGUGGCCUGGCAUCCAGAAAUUAGGUAAAGAGCUGCACAGAGAGAAUGCCAGAGGGGAAACUUGGAGGCCUGCCAGGCUGCAAUCCUCACGGAACUGUGUUCUUGUAUGGGCUAGAGGCCCUGCAGUGUAUGUAUGGAGUCAGAGAGCACUGGGAAUCAGCUCUACAUCCCACCAUGUGGUUCCAGUGACGGCGCCGUUCUGCUGAGCCAUGGCAACAACUUGCUCACUCACUGUUGCAUCAAGGAGUGACAAGCCUGUUCCCAUAGACCUUGGCUAUGGCAGGACAUUCUGGGUAAAUGGUAAGCUGCUUGUAAACAUCCUAGCAGUCUCGGGUGUACUAAUGUUCCCCUGACCUGCCACCAGCACGGAAGAGAAAAACUUCUCCAAGCAUUCAUGCAUUCAUUCUUUUUAAUGUGACAUUUUGCUUUAGGAGGUGACACAAAACCAUGGUUUUCUGGAGUCGUUUGUUGUCGCUGCUACCAUCCUCUGGCUCAGGAGCAGCUAGGCUUCUUGGCACCACUGCUCAGCAUUCCAUCUCCAGUGUCCAAGCGCUUUCCACCCAGACUGACCACAUCGCCAACCAUGCUGAGCUCAGAUUGCUUCUAUUCCAGAGGCCAUGCCACCAAGACUGCUCAGCUGCCUGCUGGUAGAGUCUGUCAUUCCAUCCAGGGUGUUCCAGUCCAGUUGUUGAGACAGGCGUCCAGGAGAAUACCAAGGACUCUAGCAGGCUGCCUGAACCGAUCCUCACUGAUGAUCUAGACAGAAGGAGUUCAGACCGAAGUCACCACCCAACCAGGUCACUGAAGUUCACAGGAGGAAGCCCUGAAGUCUGGUUUUUCAAGUCCCCUCCUCACACAGCUGGGGCGACAGUUUACACUGAGGUGCCCAAGACUCCACCACACCACUCCAUUAGACCUGGCCUAUGGCCUACAGACUUAUCCCUCCACCAAGAGCCCUGGAGGACAAGAGUGGGGACAAGAGAGGAAAAGAUGGCUGGCCAGAGGGAGGGAAGGAAGGAGGCAGAAGGACCAAGGUGAAGAUUCCUGUCUACCAAACUUCUGAUCAACAACCUGAAACGGUACGUUCUAGACUUGAAGAGUUGAGCUUUCUCAACACAAGAGAAGAGGAACUGAAUUCACCUCCCAACAGCCUCAGCAGCAGCUCACAGGUAACUUUAGCUCCAGGGAAUCUAGUGCCUGCUUCUGGCCUCUGAAGGCAGCCACAUUCACAUGCAUGGGGGCAGACACCACAUGUAUGUCAACCUAAAAGCCAAGCCUCCCCACCCCCAAGAAUAAAGUCUCUUUGAAAUUUAGAAAAAAUAACCUUUAAGAGUAUUCUAGCUGUGGUGUGCUUUAAAAAAUUAUUGUGGCUUUUUUUUUUAAAUCACUACAUAGCUCAGACUAGUCUUGAAUUCUAUCCUCCUGCUGCAGUCUUCCAAGUGCUGGGAUGACAGACUUGUGCCAGAAUACUCUCUAUUGUAAUUUUUUUAUUGUUGUAGCAAAAAUACGACACAUUUUGCCAUCUUAAUGUGGCAUUUGUUACAGGCACAGCAUUGGAUGAGCAUCACUGCUACCAUUUCCAAAACUCUUUCAUUGCUCUGAAUGGAAACACAUAGACCAGAAACUCCCAUCCUGCCACCUUUAAUCUACUUUUUGUCUUACAAGUUUGUCAAUCACAGAUAAUUCCAUAUUUGAAAUAAUAUACUAUAUGAAGGGGGCCGCCUGGCUUCUUUCACUCAGCACUGUCUCCAAGGCUCAGUCACGAUGUAGCAUGUGACAGGACAUGGCUCUUCCAUGCACUCAAACACUAGUUUAUCAUGGUUACCUGCCAUGUUUAUGACUUGUCGUCUGAAGAUGGGCAUCGAGUUGCCUCAUUAUUAUAUGCAGGGUUGAAGACAGUAAACUGUCUGCGAGGCUUUGACAGCAACACAGCCAAACCAGAACUACUGACCAGAGGACCAUCAGGGUCACAGCCUUGAAGGAGAGACAACACCCACCCUUCAACAUAGCAAAGCACCCAACCAUCUUCUCGGGAAGACAGAACCACCUUUAACCCACACACACAACUCCUAAGGUCCCUACCAGAUGCUCCACCAAGGCUUUUGUCUGUGAGGCAACUAAGCAAAUAGAUUAGUGAAGGGCCCUGUUUGGAGAGUGGAGAGUCCUUGACUGUUCACUGAUGGAGACAAUGGAAGGAGACAAUAGGAAGGAAAGGGGACAGAAGCCCUGGGUCAACUACUCCUUAGAAAUACAGCCUGGACAGGAAACUUGGUAUGCCCAAGAGAAAACCAAGAUAAAAGAGAACAGGAAGCCAAGCUCUUGGGCGUCAGCCUCGUGGCCAUUCUAAAACUCUGCGCCUCAAUGGAGCCAUAUCCCUUAUCUGCAUACUCUAGACUCAUCUCUAAUCUCAGAGAAUGUCUCUUCUCCACGUGCACUCUCUACCGAAUGCUCACUGACCGAUCCUCUGUUUCAGGCUCUGGCUAGCAGCCCUCUUAUCACACCUGACACUGAAGCAGCAAUGACAAUCUUGUCACAAAGACUAACAAGGGCUUAAUGAGGCAGCCAAUAGGAACAGCCUGGACUCCAGUUGGGCGUGAAGUCAGUUCCAGUUGUGGACCAGCACUGCGUACUCCUGUGUCCAUCACCUGAGCGAACUGUGAUGCUCAGGUCUUGGCAAUGUCCCCUGCCACUGGGAGGAAGCCCUCUGGGCGGCAUGUCAGGGAG